ACGGGAGGCAGCAGUAGGGAAUCUUCCGCAAUGGACGAAAGUCUGACGGAGCAACGCCGCGUGAGUGAUGAAGGUUUUCGGAUCGUAAAGCUCUGUUGUUAGGGAAGAACAAGUGCGAGAGUAACUGCUCGCACCUUGACGAUACCUAACCAGAAAGCCACGGCUAACUACGUGCCAGCAGCCGCGGUAAUACGUAGGUGGCAAGCGUUGUCCAGAAUUAUUGGGCGUAAAGGGCUCGCAGGCGGUUUCUUAAGUCUGAUGUGAAAGCCCCCGGCUCAACCGGGGAGAGUCAUUGGAAACUGGGAAACUUGAGUGCAGAAGAGGAGAGUGGAAUUCCACGUGUAGCGGUGAAAUGCGUAGAGAUGUGGAGGAACACCAGUGGCGAAGGCGACUCUCUGGUCUGUAACUGACGCUGAGGAGCGAAAGCGUGGGGAGCGAACAGGAUUAGAUACCCUGGUAGUCCACGCCGUAAACGAUGAGUGCUAAGUGUUAGGGGAUUUCCGCCCCUUAGUGCUGCAGCUAACGCAUUAAGCACUCCGCCUGGGGAGUACGGUCGCAAGACUGAAACUCAAAGGAAUUGAC
This 582-nucleotide ribosomal RNA is filed under the name uncultured bacterium. Its description in RNAcentral is "bacterial SSU rRNA". It matches the Rfam family "Bacterial small subunit ribosomal RNA", at positions 341 to 914 of the family's 1533-position model. The record is from RNAcentral.